RNAcentral lists this long non-coding RNA (657 nucleotides) under Sorghum bicolor (sorghum). RNAcentral describes it as "long non-coding RNA (SBIC_LNC016953)". Lineage: Eukaryota; Viridiplantae; Streptophyta; Magnoliopsida; Poales; Poaceae. The record is from RNAcentral.
GAGCUCGAAGAGUCAUAAAAGUAGGAUACUUUAUGCGCCAUGUGAAUUCCUCAAUUUAAUGGAGUACUACUAACUUUUCUUCUCCAUGAAAUUUAUUUAGGCCUUGUUUAGAUGUUGGGGUGGAUUGGGAUGAAAAUUAGUUUAUGUUUUAUUCUAAUCCAUCUCAACACAUGUAGAUUAGUAUGAAUCCGACUACAUUUAAACAAGGCCUUAGCAGUAAGUUCCUGCGACUUGUAUUGCAAAAUCAUGGCCAACUGAGCGCACUACAAUCACAAACUGACCCUUUUCUCUUUCUUUUCUUUUGUGACUACUGACCCUUUUCUCUUUCUUUUCUUUUGUGACUACUGACCCUUUUCUCUUGUGCGCACCCCCAUGCAUCAAUUUGUUAACCUUGGUUUGUGUUGCCAAUUUUGUGCAAAAUCUUUUUAAAUUUUCAUUCAAUUCAGUUGCAAAUUGGAAAGUUGGAAGUACAUUUCUAUGUACAUGAAAACGUCCAUUGGGCCCCUCCGGAUGGGACGGUAUCUCCUAGUAAUUUGUUACAUGCAUGCCUUUAUCAUGUGUAUAAACCAGGCCAAACCAUCAACCAUCCUCCUCCCUAUCUGGUGAUCUUGCCAGCACCGAGGUGUGCACCCUCCCCCCUCCUCCCCCCUCCAUGCU